CCCUUAGAUGUUCUGGGCCGCACGCGCGCUACACUGACGAAGUCAGCGAGCAUCUCCUACGCCGAAAGGUGCGGGGAAUCUUGUGAAACUUUGUCGUGCUGGGGGUUGAUUUUUGAAAUUCUUGAUCAUAAACGAGGAAUUCCUAGUAAGCGCAAGUCAGCAGCUUGCGUUGAUUACGUCCCUGCCCUUUGUACACACCGCCCGUCGCUACUACCGAUUGAAUGGUUUAGUGAGAUGUUUGGACCGGAACUCUCUUGCUCAGCAAUGGGCGAGAGAGAGUCUGGGAAGUCCCUCUAACUGUAUCAUUUAGAGGAAGUAAAAGUCGUAACA
This 330-nucleotide ribosomal RNA is filed under the name uncultured eukaryote. Its description in RNAcentral is "partial 18S ribosomal RNA". It matches the Rfam family "Eukaryotic small subunit ribosomal RNA", at positions 1470 to 1796 of the family's 1831-position model. The record is from RNAcentral.